UUCAAGGCCUCCAUGGCAGAGCCUGCCUGAGGGAUCCAUUCCUUUCAGAGUCCAUCCCCUCAGAGACACCAUGGCAGAGCCCCUCUGAGGGAUCCAUCCCCUCAGGGGCAAGGACAGUGACAUGGCGGAGCCCGCCUGAGGCAGCCUGCCCUCAGAGAUGCCAUGGUGGAGUUCCCCUGGCUGGGAUAUGCAAAGCACACACUCCUUUUCACUUCUGAUCUUCAUGGGCUUAAAACACUGGUAAAUACAAGGUAAGAGCUGGUAUUUGGCUCUGUUCGUACCCACUUCAGAGUUUUUGUACCUUUCUGCAGGGGCCACAGUGUGUCAGAGGAACCCAAUUCCACCCCAAAUUGUUCAGCUUAAGGUCCACGCAUCCACAAAACACUUAUAUAAUUUUAAACACCAUUCUAUCCAUCACUUCCAUGCUUCCACACAAAAGAUUUUUCAAGGGCUGUGUCAUUUUUGCACAAGUAGGAAACCGAGGCCGUGUGAAGCAAAGGUGUUUGCUCCGUGUUAGCAGUGGAGUUGUGGGCAAAGAGCACAAAAACUCGCUCAUGGAUGACUGGACAAGCCAGGCACGCUGGAAAUCAGCUGUUGUUGAGCUUUGUGUGGCUUUUCUCUAUUUUCCUGUCAUAAAUCACAGAUGCCAGGUCAGAUUUGCUGCUUGCUUUUGCUUUGUUCUGAGCCCAGCUGAUGGUGGGGAGAUAUGAGGCUUGUAGGAGACUGUGGGACAGACCAGCAGAGAAGGAGACUGGGGGAAGAACCAGCAGAAAAUCCUCCAGAUCAGAUGUUCAGCUUUCUGCAGAGCCUGGCGUCACCAGCGUGCCCAAAGUGGGGUGGGCUGGGAAAUAAUGGGUGGUGACAUCCCAAACUGCUCUGGCUCCUUGGCUUUGUGUCCCUCCUCCUUCGCCCUGCCCAGGUCAGCUGAUGAUCAGCAAACAGACUCCACGUCCUUUUAUUGCUGCUGUGAGUCACAGAAAGCAAGGCUCAGGCACACCUUUUCCAUGACAACGCUGCUGAAAUCGCUGCCUGAGCCCUUCAGGCCUUGGGUGAGGAUGGCAGGCCGAGGCCACACGUGAGGAGCAGCAGCUUUGUGGCCAUGUGCUGGUGCUCCACGUCAUCCCGGCUGCCCCUGGCUCCCCAGGGAUGCCAGGUUUGGUGAGCCUCAGAGAUUCCACCGAGCUGGAGAAUUUCCACGGUGCAUUUCCAUGACUCACUGUUGGUGCCAGCUGAUUCAUCUGUGUGACACUACGCUGCUUUUUCUCACCGUGGCAUGGAAACAUCCUCUUUUUUUUCCCCUCUGUGUGGAACAAUCCUGACAGCAGCCCUUACAAACCACACAAAAAGGGGAACAGAGACCCAGAAAUCCACUUUUACCCAGCGCUGCCCCUCGCACUGCUCUUUGCACUCUGUUUUCCCAGGAUUUUGCUGUAACUCUGCUCCUUGCAGACACCCACUCUCUAUUAGGCCUUACCUCCAGUGCCUGUUUUCCAAGUUUGGAAGGAGUGAGCGCUGGGAGCAGGCUCUGGAUCUGCUCAGCAAUCCUUGCUCCGUAACCAUAGCAGCUCAGGGUGACUCACGCUGCCACAGGCCCGAGCCCAACUUAGCAGGAGGAAUUUUUUUCCCCCCCCCUGCUCUGUCACCAGCUCGGAGUUUCUCUCCACAGUUGCAUAACUCAGCUGUCACUUGUGUUCCUCUGGUUCUGCCCUGCUGUCACCUGCAGCAUCCCUGGAAGGUCUGCACUGGAGGCUGUUCCCCAGGCAGGGAAUGAAGGCUCUGCACAUGAGCCUUCACAAACCCGUGGAUUUGUGAUCAUACAGCACAAAAAAAACAGAGCAGAAAGUCCCCAAGUCCUCAUGGGUCUGAUCCCGAGUCUCUUGGAGCACAGAGUUCCUAUAAAUCCCUAAAAUUUAUAACAAAGUACUCAGGUAUGCAGCCAUAUAAAAAACCCCUCGUGUUGUCCCAUGGAUGAGGGAAUCCUCUUACAACUGGAGUUCUGCAGGAAAAGGGGAUUUGCCAGCCCCAGAUCCACCACGGUGGCCUGGCAGUGAGGAAAACCCUGGGAUUCCAGCAGAUGGAGCCUGAGCAGGGUGAUGUGUUUGCCUGAUGUGGGAAUGGUGAUUUCUGGCCUCAGAAAUGGCAGAGAAAACUCAGUUUUCUGCAAAGUUUCCCAAUGCCUGCCUUUUCCCUUCAAGCAAGACUCAUUUUCACCUGGGGGGGGGUCUCAAUUUUGAUUAUUCUCUGCUUAUUCCUUCAGAACGAGGAAGACAGAAAAUCUUGGAAGCCAGACAAGCAAAGAGGAAGCAAAAAAAAACCCCGUAAUCAGCAGGAAAUUCAGGAGAGUUUCAGUUCUGAGAGAGCAGCAAAGAGGCAUCAUCCUUAUUUUGUGGGGGAAUUUGGAGCUUGUCUUCUUGCAGCUCUGCUCUCGGGCUGAGAAACCCUGGAUAACAUCAGAUAAUGCUCCCACAGGGCCGCUUGCCAGGAAAACAGCGAUCCCAAAAGGAGAAAAUGAACAAGAAUGAGUGACCAGACUGGGCUGAAUAUCCCAACUAUUUCACCUCCCAAAGCUCAGAGGAGUGACAGGAGGGGAGGUUUAAUUGAUGGCAAGCAUUACAGCUGGUGCUGAAUUCUCCAGCUUGGCCAGGAGAGACUUUUAUAGCAGGGAACACAGGAGCAUUGUGAAAGAUGACUGUGAUUGUUUGGGCAUUUCUGGGUUAGAUUGCAGCAAAAUUGCAGCAAAAAAAAAAAAAAGGCAAUUUUGCUUUAAUCAACUCUCUAGAAAGCCCCGACAUAGUGAAGAGCAGAAGGCAUCAGAAGAUAGGAAAUUGUCAGCCUUGCUGGAGCUGAAAGAUAAGAUUGUACUCCCUCCAGCUACAAUAAGAGAAGAUAAAUUAUCCAUGGGGGCAAUUCAGAGAGAAAAUAAUGUACAAUUAAAGUUGUUUGAAUUACACUUUUAGGGAAGCACGAGCGCAGGAAUGAAACAGCCUCAGUGGAAAGGCUGAAACCUUCCCAUGUGCUUUUAUAAAGCAGAACUGGGGGGAAAAUAAUAAAUUUUGGGGAAGAGUUAUUGUCUUGGUUUGAAAAGACAGGUGUCUGCUAAGGAAGGCAGCAGCCUUCCUUGAAAUAGAAAAUGUGAACCCCCUCCCUCUUUAUUGUUAUAAUUUUGAAAUUAAAGGGCUCUCAGGCAAAGCUAUGUGAGCAGGAAUAACAGUUUUUAUUAGGAAAAUUAAAACCACAAAUGCAAUAGUACAAACAAAACCAAACCACUGCCAGAGUCAGAGCAGUCCCUGUCCCCCUGUGGGUC
Molecule: long non-coding RNA, 3304 nt
Organism: Passer domesticus (house sparrow)
Lineage: Eukaryota; Metazoa; Chordata; Aves; Passeriformes; Passeridae
Exons: 3
Source: RefSeq, a predicted model, not a curated record